CCUUCUAACUGUUAAGUCCUCUUUGCUUAACAAAUAAAAACAAAAUGCAUUUGGAAAGACAGAGGCUAUAUGGCAGGGGCUGGGUUUCUGAGUUAAUAUUCCAGUGAUAACAGUAACAAUAAAUAGACAGCGACCGGACAUGCGGUCCUGCACUGGGUUUAUAUGGAUGUCAUUUCAUUCAGUGCUUCCCAGGUGGUGUAGUGGUAAAGGAUCUGCCUGCUCGAUCCAUGGGUUGGGAAGAUCCCCUGGAGAAGGAUAUGGCCACCCAGUCCAGUAUUCUUGUCUGGGAAAUUCCAUGGACAGAGGAGACUGAGCACAGGCUCCAGGGCAUGAGGGCUCAGCAGUUGUGGCAUAUGAGUCUAGUUACCCCAUGGCAUGUGGAAUCUUCCCAGACCACGGAUCAAACCCAUGUCCCCUGCUUUGGCAGGUGGAUUCUUAACCACUGGAACACCAGCCUUAAAGAAGAAAUCUUCCAGAUUCGAUGUUUGUCAACAGUUUGGUUAUUUGGAUAACCCUUGGCCCCAGUGUGGGUCCCACUGAAGCUGAAUACGCACAACUCCUGGAUCAAUUUCUAACAUGAAGCAGGUUUUCAUCUCACCUGGAAGUGCUGGGCAGAGGGGAUUUUUCUCUCUCCAUUCCCUGAUUCUUUUAUACUCUUAAGGUAUUUAACACAUUAA
Bos taurus (domestic cattle) is the source of this 677-nucleotide long non-coding RNA. The record is from Ensembl. Lineage: Eukaryota; Metazoa; Chordata; Mammalia; Artiodactyla; Bovidae.